UCUGGGAAAGGAGAGAGCCGGAUUGUGUGGGGCCAACUCUGGACUGGCAUUUGAGCCCCAACAAAUACCAUAUUGUCUGUGCUGCAAAGAGGCUGCUGCUGGUAUCUCCGGGAGAGUGUUUACUCGCUUCUAAAUUACACCAUUGUCCACGCAAGGAGAAAGUCAGCUACCGAGGGGAAAACAGAGGAUGGGAAAACAGUUCUUUUUGACAGGAAGAGGAGGGUUCUUCCGCGCUCCUGGUGUCCUGAGGCAACGUUCAGUGAUGAAUUUUCUCGGCAAAGCCUGGUCCUGAGCUGGUCCUCACUGGAGCUACCUGCGAAACCUUUUCCUGAAAUGACCGACGUGGCUUUUGCAACCAGUUAGCACCUGCUCUCAGAACUCGAUCCCCCUCCCUAAUUGGUUUCAAGUGGAGCCAGGGGAUCAGGACUUAAUUAGCAGCAAUACAGCUCAUACUGAUCGGUUCCCCCUGCUUCCCCGGGCCCCAGGUUUGUCUCCACUUGGAAUCCCUGUGCCUGCUGGACACGUGUGUCUGCAGUGUUCAGGCAGCAGUGCUUGGGGCAGCACCGGGCAGGGCAGGGACCCCCCCGGUGGCAGCUGGUCUCAGGCCACCCUCUGCCCGUGCCCCUCACCCCCUACCCUAGCCAGCCCUGCACCUCCUCCUUGCCCCACUUCGGAGUCGCCCGCUACGCCAGGGCCCGUCACCUCGGCCACCCUGACUAAGAGGCUGACUGGAGUGGGGUCACCCUCACAGGCUGCUGGAUGGGCCACAGAGGCCUCAGCCCCUUGUCUUUGCUGGCCCCUGGGCUGCUGAAGAAGGUUCUUGUUUUUGUUUUUUUUUUUCCCUUCACCAAAAAGGGGAAAUGCCUCCUGCUCUGUACCAGCUUGAAGCCAAAAUAACAUGUUUUGGCAACCAUGAUUUGGCAAUUAGGGCCUCAGCGCACUGAAAGCAUUCUUCCAUGCAAAAUAUGCCUUGGAAAGAAAACACGAAACCACAUCUGAGUGAAAAUGUAGGAAGUGAACAAAGGGGUGACAAAGCAGUGAGAGUCAGGAAGGGGGAGCGUUGCGGGGGUGGGGGGCUCCGACACGUCUGGGGAGGCCAGACCACGGCUGGACGCCUGGAUGUUUCCACAGACCCAACUCUGGAGCAGUCCAGGGGAGGCUGGAGGCUGAGCCCUGCAGGAUCCCUCAUCUCUGUGAUGCAGUGGCAGCAGAGGGCGGCAGGAUAAGGACCAAGAUGCUGGCUUCAUCUUCCUUAUGGCCCUAAACUACCAUCUGAAAGUGCACCAGAAAGUGUAAAUGGAUUUCACUGGUGAGUCUGAUAUUACCAAGGAGGUUAUUUAUUACCCUAUCAGUGUGCAAAUAUCCCUUGAACACUGGUUUCAUUUUACAAUUGUGAAUUACGUUCCCCUCACUAUUUAUUAACUUUUUGACAAUUUUUCUAAUAACACAGACUGUUAGCAUAGAAAUUUUUAAAUCCUGGUUUGCUUAUGCAUGACCAUUGGAUGAACCACUUUAAUCACAGAGAUAUGUCCAUUUCUACAUGACUUAUUUCUGUAUAAUCAUUCACCUGAUAACUAUAAUAUAGUCAUUGCAAAGACAUUUCUGAAUUUAGCUUUCAUAAUGAAAAUAAAGUGUUGGGAUUUUAAAAGCA
Molecule: long non-coding RNA, 1651 nt
Organism: Bos indicus x Bos taurus (hybrid cattle)
Lineage: Eukaryota; Metazoa; Chordata; Mammalia; Artiodactyla; Bovidae
Source: Ensembl